CAGGGGCACAGCCAAGGAGCCAGCAGGUGGGAGCUCUCUGAAUGAGUCCCCUUUGGCAGCGAGCUCCCCACUACGCCCCGGUGACUCCCGCAGCAGCAUAGUGAACGGCGGAGCCAGGCACACAGCUCACUCAGGAGAGAGCUGCCCGAUGGGAACAAAUGCUGCAUUGGCAUCCCAGGUGUGGACGAGGGCUCUGCUUACCUCGGGGCUGAUGACUUCAAGUGGAUUAUACUGAACAGAGAGACUUACUGGAGGACACUGAGCUAGCUUAUCUGCCGCCACCAUCUGGACAUUGAGGUGUUUCGCUUGAGAUUUCCCUCGAGACUUUAUUAACC
Molecule: long non-coding RNA, 335 nt
Organism: Cervus elaphus (red deer)
Lineage: Eukaryota; Metazoa; Chordata; Mammalia; Artiodactyla; Cervidae
Exons: 3
Source: RefSeq, a predicted model, not a curated record